Molecule: long non-coding RNA, 2056 nt
Filed under: Centruroides sculpturatus (bark scorpion)
Lineage: Eukaryota; Metazoa; Arthropoda; Arachnida; Scorpiones; Buthidae
Description: uncharacterized LOC111632134
Source: RNAcentral
GGUUAUAUAAUGAACGAAUUUGAAAAAUGACGUAAAAUUGACGUAAUUAUUGCAUUGCCUGAACCGAACGAACAAGCCUUAAGACUUAUCUGCAAAGAUAGAACGAAUCUUCAAAGACGUUGCCACAAGACGUUUAAUGAGAUCGUUAUAUUUAAAAAUACGAAGUAAAAACUUUAAUAUUACGCAUUUUUUUUGGAUAAAAUUAAAGAUGAAAAUUUGUAAAAUAAAAAAAUAUAUUGAAGAAAGAAAGGUUGUAACUAACUUGAAAGUUACAGACAAAGAAGGAAAAAAUUCAUUGUUUCGAGACAAAAGUCGAAUAAAUUUAACGUUUUAAAGUAGAAAGCGAAGAAAAGAAAAUAUUGUAAGAUGCGAGAAACAAUGUUUUGAAGAUGAACAACCAGCGUGAAAAAUAUAAUUGAUAAUUUUAAUCACGAUAACAAUGAAUGAAAUCAAUUAUCAGCUUCGAGUGGAGCUGUCGCAUGCGUCAUAAUGACGUCAUACCACGCAAGUGCUUCAGCCUCGUUUCGUCACAGUACAGUAGUGUAUAGCAGGCAGACGACGCCGAGCGCCGUUAUAUCACAUGUCGUGAGUAAAACCUAGGAAUGUUUAGAUUUACGAGACGUACGAGUCUGAGGUUUCUUCUAUUGACUGCCAUUGUUAUAGCCGGUACUUUAGUUGUCUUCUACCACACACUGGUCAGUGGACAACGAAAGAAUGGCUUGCAACACGAGGAAUGGUCUGACGAUCACGAUGUUCUCCCUUCGGGACAGGGAGGAGGUUUCUGGCCUUGGAUAUCGGACCAGAAUGAUGCUGUCUGCUCUUCUGUCAUACUCUCGCCCGAUGUAGAUAUUAAAACUGUCGAUAUUUAUCAGAAAUUAAGUUUCAAACCCAAUUAUAGAAGCUACUGGAAUUUGAAAUUUGAGAGAAAUUAUCAACUAAGAAAGGAGCAAUGGGACAAAAUGCCUCUCAGAGUGAUAGUUCUUCCUCACUCCCAUAACGAUCCGGGCUGGUUAAGAACCUUCGACAGCUACUACGUCUCUUUAACUACCCAUAUUUUGAAUAAUAUGGCAGACCAGCUGAACAGACACCACGAUAUGUCCUUCAUUUGGGCAGAAAUAUCUUUCUUUGCAAAAUGGUGGGACAGGUAAGUUUGCUCCACUAGUUAGGCUACAUUAAUAAUUGAAAUCAAGACUACGUUACGCAGUCUAUCCCGGAUAUUUGCUUGAUGGUUCUUAUUAUAAAUGGUUCCGGACAUGCUUCAGGUCCUCGGGAUGUGAGCGAUUUGAUUAGAAGAUUUAGAAUUAAUUGUGUAGAUUUAUUUUGGAUUCCAUCGUUAUAAAUUAAUGAAGUAGCGGGUACGUUGCCGGAAUAGAGGGCAUUCAACGUUACGUUGUCACUGAACUGAUAUAACGAUUAAAUUUUCCCCCGUACGCGUAACUUAUAAGGGAAAAUUUAUUCGUUAUAUCACGAUUUGGAGUAAAAAUAAACUGAAAUUUACCUAUUUAUCGAUGAAUAUGUUCAUUUCUAUGUUUAAUUUAGUCUAAAAAUCUUCGUUAAAUACUUUUCAAAUAUCUCUAAAAUUUUAAAACGUAACUCACUUCCCCACCCACCGGUAGCCGAAUGGAUAAAACAACCGAACAGUGGUGGUUAGUCGUGGGUUCGUGCCGUUUUUCUUCACGUUUGUAACACCUAAAUAGGGCCAAUUUCCCGUAGAAAGACUUUCUGGGAAGCAAUCCCUUGCUGCAACAUAUAAACAACAACAGCUUCACUUGUUACUAUUAUUUUAACAACACUUAUUACUUUCCUGCAAGUUCGAGGUAUUCUCUAGAUUUUUUUUAAGGUAGCAAAUAAGAAUUUCUGCUUAAAAAAUGGAUCUGGAGUAGUGACACUAUCCACAAUAAAGAAGUGUACGACCGUACAGUAUAAUUUUUUAUUUCUCGAAGAACAUAUCUGUGUCGUCCGAAUUAAAUUUUUAUUAAAUUAAAAAUCAAUAAAACAUGUUCAAAUAAUCGAUGCUCAUGCAAAUUUGUAACAUUUGAAAACUAUUGACUAUAUC